GGGGAUGUCAGUUACAGGUGUUAGAGAAUAUCGGACUGAAGCUGUCUAGAAUUAAUUGCUUAGCAUAACUUGCUUAGCAUUAGUAGCUAAAUUUGCUGAAGCCUUAGGCCUCAGGCUGUGAACUUUUACUUAGAUAAGUAAAAGGGGGCCCCAGAGCUCGUUCAAGCUGGAGGGAUAAAGAAGCUGCACGGACAGCAGGAGUAGCCAACCUUGAAGAUAAGCAGCAGCCUGCCUAGAGACAAUGAAGGGGCCCAAGGAAGAAGGGGAAGAACCCAGACCUGACUAUUACUAUUGGUCCAAACUAUCGCUUAAGGGGUGGGGAAUUUAGAUUGUAAGGGUAUAACUGCCCAGGGAUUUCUUUGUUCGGGGUCCCUCUUUGGAGGCACCCAGCUCGAGCUGUAAUUACCGCACAUGUAUCAUUACAUUUUAUUUCUCUUCAGUCUGACUUCGAACUUCUGCCUCAGCAGGAACCUAGGGUUGGACCCUGUUAUGGAGGCCGGCGAGCCCGAUUUUCCAUAACACAGGAACGUGCCGAGAGGUGCGGUGGCGCGCGCGGGGGCCUUGGCAAGCCACAUGCGGCGCGGGUUCGCGGCCUGCGAUCGCACCUGCCCUCACUCCGUGUGGGACGAGGCAGCCGGGCAGACGUGGGCCAGGGCCAGGGCCAGGCCGGCGUUUUAGGACCGAGUUGCGCUGCAGCGUGUCAUUACUGUGACUUACCAAGAUGCAAGACACCUCUAGCUUCUGCAUCACUUCAAUUUGUGGUUAAGAAUGUCUCAGAGAGAUGAAUGUACAGCCUACAGCACUCCAGGAGUCUGCUAAUAUGACCAAACAUAAGCUAUACAAAUCUCUCAAAAAUACUGUAACUACUGAGAUGGACAUACAAAAGAGCAUUACAUAUGAAGACAACAGAGUAACAAUGAGCUCUCCUGAGAGUAAAGCCCUAUUGGAGUAAAAGCUUCUACCCUAAAAAUCGGAGAUGGUGACCUAAAAAUCAGGCUGACAAACCUGACAUGACAUCACAACAACUAAAGAGCAGAUGGAACGUACACAGUGACGUCAAGCCUACACAGUGGAGGGAUACCAGGAAAGUGUCUCUGUAGGUUAUGAGGAAAAGAAGAGAGAAGACUGCCAAGACUAUAACCAAAGACAUCUUCAGGAUCAGGUGUUUUAUGUCAUUUCUUUCAUCUUUCCUCUCACUCCCCUCCAGACUUGCCUUGUACCUUCAAACAAGCAAUCUGUGAGGGAAAGAAAACAUCCUCAUUUCUAUAGUGGUAUAGAAACUUCUGAAACCUCAGAAGUUUUACUCUACCCUGCAAUAAACAGAAGCAUGCAUGAAGUGGCA
RNAcentral lists this long non-coding RNA (1342 nucleotides) under Apteryx owenii (little spotted kiwi). RNAcentral describes it as "lncRNA (ENSAOWG00000006723.1)". The record is from RNAcentral. Lineage: Eukaryota; Metazoa; Chordata; Aves; Apterygiformes; Apterygidae.